AACGAACGCUGGCGGCAUGCCUAACACAUGCAAGUCGAACGAUGCCUCCGGGCAUAGUGGCGCACGGGUGCGUAACGCGUGGGAAUCUGCCUUUCGGUUCGGAAUAACUCAGGGAAACUUGAGCUAAUACCGGAUAACGUCGCAAGACCAAAGAUUUAUCACCGAAAGAGGAGCCCGCGUAGGAUUAGCUAGUUGGUGAGGUAAAGGCUCACCAAGGCGACGAUCCUUAGCUGGUCUGAGAGGAUGAUCAGCCACACUGGGACUGGGACACGGCCCAGACUCCUACGGGAAGCAGCAGUGGGGAAUAUUGGACAAUGGGCGAAAGCCUGAUCCAGCAAUGCCGCUUGAGUGAUGAAGGCCUUAGGGUUGUAAAGCUCUUUUACCCGGGAAGAUAAUGACGGUACCGGGAGAAUAAGCCCCGGCUAACUCCGUG
RNAcentral lists this ribosomal RNA (433 nucleotides) under uncultured bacterium. Its description in RNAcentral is "partial 16S ribosomal RNA". It matches the Rfam family "Bacterial small subunit ribosomal RNA", at positions 29 to 507 of the family's 1533-position model. The record is from RNAcentral.